RNAcentral lists this ribosomal RNA (253 nucleotides) under uncultured bacterium. RNAcentral describes it as "partial 16S ribosomal RNA". It matches the Rfam family "Bacterial small subunit ribosomal RNA", at positions 524 to 776 of the family's 1533-position model. The record is from RNAcentral.
UACGUAGGGUGCGAGCGUUGUCCGGAAUUAUUGGGCGUAAAGAGCUCGUAGGCGGUCUGUCGCGUCUGCUGUGAAAUCCCGAGGCUCAACCUCGGGCUUGCAGUGGGUACGGGCAGGCUAGAGUGCGGUAGGGGAGAAUGGAACUCCUGGUGUAGCGGUGGAAUGCGCAGAUAUCAGGAAGAACACCGAUGGCGAAGGCAGUUCUCUGGGCCGUAACUGAUGCUGAGGAGCGAAAGCGUGGGGAGCGAACAGG